CCCUUAGAUGUUCUGGGCCGCACGCGCGCUACACUGACGAAUGCAACGAGCUUAUAACCUUGGCCGAAAGGUCUGGGUAAUCUCCAAAUUUCGUCGUGAUGGGGAUAGAUUAUUGCAAUUAUUAAUCUUCAACGAGGAAUGCCUAGUAAGCGCAAGUCAUCAGCUUGCGUUGAUUACGUCCCUGCCCUUUGUACACACCGCCCGUCGCACCUACCGAUUGAAUGGUCCGGUGAAAUCUCCGGACUGGCGUGAGUCGGAGCAAUCUGACAAACACCGGAAAGUUGAUUAAACCUUACCAUUUAGAGGAAGGUGAANUCGUANCA
RNAcentral lists this ribosomal RNA (323 nucleotides) under uncultured eukaryote. RNAcentral describes it as "partial 18S ribosomal RNA". It matches the Rfam family "Eukaryotic small subunit ribosomal RNA", at positions 1470 to 1796 of the family's 1831-position model. The record is from RNAcentral.